GAAUCGUGUAGAGAGAGAAAUCUGAGUGGAUGUUUUGAAGAAAAGAUUGCUUCGAGAGCUAGAAUUUAAGAAUUAUCUGGCCACAGAUCUUAUCUGCAAGGCAUUGCAUGUGGACAUGGACACAGAGCACUGGGAUUGGUAUCAUAGCCUCUGUUCAAUUUUGAUCAUGUAUGGGUUGAGGUCUACAUUUCUGGAGUGUAAUGCUGAAGCAAUUCAUUAUAUUGGUAUGGGGAUGUUCAAACAGGUGGGUUAUUAUUGUCUACUUCAAUCCUGGAGUACAGAUCAGAAGGGUACCACUCUUGCCAUUUUCUAAUGGUAACUACUUUAAUGUGUCACAGAAUGAUGACGAGAUCGCUUUACUAGCAGCCAAGGCCUGUAUGGCUUUAGAUCCAGAGAAUGAAUCAUGCAAAGCUUUUCAUUUUCUAGUCAAGGAGAAGAUGAACAGGGCUGCAAGUGGCAGUAGGCGAAUGCUUCAAACGCAACUUCCAUAUCCCCGACUUGGCAUCUGUUAACUGGAGAAACCCGUCUGUGAUGUCUGUAACAUAACGUCUCACGGUUACUUUUGAGAAUUGGUACUCAGUCAUGACUGGAUAAUCUUGUAGUGAUGCUGGUGCUAUGAGGUAGGCAGGUAGCACGGUUGCUUUUACCUUUUGGCCUAAGCUGCUAGAUUGUAAGCUGCCUGAGAUGAGCGGCAGUUUGCCUGGAUGUUUUCCCCCUGUGAAAUGCGAAAAAU
Phragmites australis (common reed) is the source of this 733-nucleotide long non-coding RNA. RefSeq lists it as uncharacterized. The record is from RefSeq and is a predicted model, not a curated record. The transcript is spliced from 3 exons. NCBI's taxonomy places the organism in Eukaryota, Viridiplantae, Streptophyta, Magnoliopsida, Poales, Poaceae.